CACGUAGGGGGCGAGCGUUGUCCGGAUUUAUUGGGCGUAAAGAGCUCGUAGGCGGCUUGGUAAGUCGGGUGUGAAAACUCCGAGCUCAACUCGGAGAUGCCAUCUGAUACUGCCAUGGCUAGAGUCCGGUAGGGGAGCGCGGAAUUCCAGGUGUAGCGGUGAAAUGCACAGAUAUCUGGAGGAACACCGAUGGCGAAGGCAGCGCUCUGGGCCGGUACUGACGCUGAGGAGCGAAAGCGCGGGGAGCGAACAGG
RNAcentral lists this ribosomal RNA (254 nucleotides) under uncultured bacterium. RNAcentral describes it as "partial 16S ribosomal RNA". It matches the Rfam family "Bacterial small subunit ribosomal RNA", at positions 524 to 776 of the family's 1533-position model. The record is from RNAcentral.